Molecule: long non-coding RNA, 6778 nt
Organism: Zea mays
Lineage: Eukaryota; Viridiplantae; Streptophyta; Magnoliopsida; Poales; Poaceae
Exons: 3
Source: RefSeq, a predicted model, not a curated record
AGACACUGCACGCCAAGCCGCUCUCUCCCCCUCCGAUUUUUUUCAGCCGAUGUUCUCUCUGAUAUUUCCAGCACGAACAGGUCUCCAAUCCUUAUCCCAGCCGAUGCAUGGACUGCAUCUACUACAGACCAUCAACGCACGUCUCUGCUCCUCCCUUCCUUUGCCGCACCUGCUCCCUCUUCUUCCUUUCCUUGGCGCUCGGUCACCAGUCCCUAGCUCGCUCGGCCUCUGCUCUUCUGCUGGCCGGUGCUCCCUCACCCAUCUUCUAUAGUCGCCUUGCUCUCUGAUGCUUUCCUGCUCGUCCGUCCGCAGCUCGGAUGUCGUGGUUCUCUGGUCGCCGGUGCCCAGCUCGCCAGCCAUCUUCUUGCCUUGUCGCCGCUGUUCUUCUCUAGUGCUCGCCUCAGCCCAAGCCGCGUCCAUGGCUAUCGAGCACACUAGCUGUCGUGGGGCUCGGCCUCAGCAUGGCGCUGGACGCCCGGACUUCAUCUCGGUCCUCUCGAGGUCGGACUGCGCCCCAUGCCGGCUUCGAUUGGAUGUAGCGCGUCGUCACUCAGCUCGCCCAAAUCCUGGCCAUGGUUCUCGUCGCGCCCUUUCCUACUUCCCCAUCCUCGCCAUAGAGGCUCAGUCGCUCGCCGUCACCCCAAGCGCCGCAUCGGACUCGUCCUGUGUGAUGUCCACCAAGUGCUCGACAAAAAACUCGAACGAGUCGUCAUGCCAUCGUCUUCGUCGAAUGGAAAUCGUCGUGCUAACACAUCGAUGUCGUCGAUCGCCAUCCUCAUCUACGCCAACAAGCCGUGAAGACGCUCUUGUGCUGGCCACGCGCCACCAGCUCGACAAAAUGAAUCCUAUGGGUAUCUGGUCAUGAACGAGGCCCCUGUGUAUCGCUCAUCAAGUGCUCGGUCGAAGACUUUAAUUGAAGGUCGUCAUCGUUCGUGUCAUGAUCGAGUCAAAUUGCAGUAUGGUACGUUAAUUAAUCGCGCGAUGCGGAAGACAAGCCAAGUCGACCCCAAGCGUGGACUACUUCGCAUGGUGAUGCUGAUGGACGAACCUGCCUGAUCAAGUGCUAAGACAAGGAUGAUCGUCAAGUGGACGUCAACUAACAAACACUAAUCUAGUGUUAUUCCAGGCAAGCCCCGGUGCAUGCAACCCCUUCCUUGUGUUUUUAAAUAAUUUUCGCACACUUUAAGUCUAGUGAAAUGUGCAUUAGGUUUAUAGGAGUUGCUUGGAACCCUUUGAUGCAUUGCUUUCCUUGAUAUCCAUACCUUUAUAGAUACUUUUGGUGAAGUAUCAAAAACAUGAUUUACAAAAAUGCUUAGCCCUGCUUAGAUCUUGUGGAUAGGGGUUGUCCUUAGCCUAGCUCGAGAAAGGAUGGCUUCUACCUGCAAGAAUAUUUUCAUUUGGAGCAAUGGUGGGAUCUUACUGCAAAGUUCCCUGUGAUGCUCUUUUCAUCCUAAGGAACAGAAACAAUCCUAAGGAUGGAAAUACUUAAAUUGAGACUUGGGUUAGGAACAGGUGAUGUUCUACCCAGGUUGAUUAAGGAUUGAAUGCGUAUGUAGGCGUGCUGAUCAAGGACCCUUUAACUGGUCACAUGCCUCGUCAUGGGUAAGCCUUGCCUCGGGCAGACUAAGGCCAGAAUAAGAUAACAUGAAAUGGGCGUGGAGCGGUGGCGAGAGUAGUGUGUACCCACCGUGGCAAGAGGCUGGACGUUGGUGUAUCUGUGCUCUCGGUUUGCGUGAACCUGAUCUGGUCUUAAGAACCCCGGUGGCGGGUUGACAUAUGCAAGGGUUAAGUGCUACAUAUGUCGUGUGAUUGGAGAUCCUCAGCUGAGUAUAAUCGAUUCGGAUCGCCGUACCUUCGCGGUUAUGAAGACUUGGUCACUUCCCUACAACCUAAGUCAGGAUGUGAACAUUAUGAAUAAAAAGGAUGUUGUAUUGAUGAGAUGAUGAAAUUAGACUAGAUGCAAACAGUGUCUAUUAAUAUUCAAUCUGGCGUUAAAAUAUUGAAAGUAAGUACUCACUUUAGUAAGCUAUUUCUGCAAAAGUAUCUAAGUUGAUUCUUGCUAAAGCCUCUCCUUGAUUCCUAUUUAUCCAGCAUACCCUUGAGAGUCUUUUCUUUAGUCGGGUAAGUCUUGCUGAGUAAUUUCAUACUCAGGGUUUUAUUCCCUGUUGUUUUUCAGGUUAUAGUUUUGUGCUGCUGUUGAUGGUGUUAAGUGCCGGUGGGCUCGGCCUUCUUAUAUAAGUAUAUUCCGUCUUUAUCUUCUUAUUGAGGAUGGUCACUUGAGCUAGCAUAUAUUUUAAAACUAUAAAUAAUUUAUAACAGUUCAAAGUUUCUUUCUUUGAAUCACUGUAGUAAUCACUCCGAUCAUGUACAUUAUAAAACUUGAUGUAACCUGUAAAAUUUGGUAAUAAGAUUUCCGCUGCAAAAAUGUUGUGUGUGUGAUUUGUGUUACUUAAUCCCGCGGUUCUGGUUGUUCGUGGUUUAUCCGAUGUCCUUGGGGCAAUCGGACGGAUCCUGUUAAGUUAUCUGGUGCACAUGCAUAGCAGUCUGAGGUCUUUGAGACAAGGACAGGUGCAUGUGGGCCCAAUAACUUGGGAGGUUCUGCCACACGAAACGCGCUAAGACCUCGAAGGAGUCAAACCACUCCUCCGAGGCCUCGGGGGCUACACCCGGCGGGUGCGCUCGCGCGCACCCACCAGAACGAAACGCAACCGAGAAAGGUCGGUCCCCUUGCAAAAAAGUGCGACAAAAGCCUCCAAGCGAGUAUCAACACUCCCUUCGAGGCUCGGGGGCUACUGUCGGGGACCAUAAUUAGGGGUACCCCAAGACUCCUAAUCUCAGCUGGUAACCCCCAUCAGCACAAAGCUGCAAAGGCCUAAUGGGUGCGAUUAAGGUCAAGGCUCAGUCCACUCAAGGGACACGAUCUCGCCUCGCCCGAGCCCAGCCUCGGGCAAAGGCAGCCGACCCCGGAGGAUUCACGUCUCGCCCGAGGGCCCCCUCAAGCAACGGACACACCUUCGGCUCGCCCGAGGCCCAGUCUUCGCAGAGAAGCAACCUUGGCCAGAUCGCCACGCCAACCGACCGUAUCGCAGGAGCAUUUAAUGCAAGGAUCGUCUGACACCUUAUCCUGAUACGCGCUCUUCAGUCGACAGAGCCGAAGUGACCGCAGUCACUUCGCCGCUCCACUGACUGACCUGACAAGAAAACAGCGCCGCCUGCGUCGCUCCGACUGCUGUGCCACUCGACAGAGUGAGGCUGACAGCAGCUAAGUCCAGCCUCGGGCGCCAUAGGAAACUCCGCCUCGCCCGACCCCAGGGCUCGGCCCCUGUCUCGUCCUCGGAAGAUGGGCUUUGCCUCGCCCGACCCUAGGGCUCGGACUCAACCACGACUCAGCCUCGGCUCUAGAAGACGACGGACUCCGCCUCGCCCGACCACAGGGCUCGGACUCAGCCUCGGCUCCGGAAGACGACGAACUCUGCCUCGCCCGACCCUAGGGCUCGGACUCAGCCUCGGCUCCGGAAGACGAUGGACUCCGCCUCGCCCGACCCCAGGGCUCGGACUCAACCUCGACCUCGGAGGAGCCUCUGCCUCGCCCGACCGAGGGCUCGGACCAACCACGUCACAGGGGGGGGGCAUCAUUACCCUACCCCUAGCUAGCUCAGGCUAUGGGGAACAAGACCGGCGUCCCAUCUGGCUCGCCCCGGUAAACAAAUAAUGAUGGUGCCCCGCGUGCUCCAUGACGACGGCGGCUCUUAGCCCCUUACGGAAGCAAGGAGACGUCAGCAAGGAUUCGACAGCCCCGACAACUGUCCUUCCGCAGGGCUCCAGCUCUCCUCCGACGGCCACGACAUCACAUGAACAGGGUGCCAAAACCUCUCUGACUGCCACGACGGCAUGUACUUAGGGCCCUAGCUCCUCUCUGCUAGACACGUUAGCACACUGCUACACCCCCCAUUGUACACCUGGACCCUCUCCUUACGCCUAUAAAAGGAAGGUCCAGGGCUCUCGUACGAGAAGGUUGGCCGCGCGGGAGAACGGGCCGACGCAUAAGGCUCUCGCCCUCUCUCUCUCUCUCUCUCCCACGCGAACGCUUGUAACCCCCUACUGCAAGCGCACCCUACCUGGACGUAGGGCAACACGAAGGCCGCGGGUUUCCCCUUUGCCUGUUUCUUCCCCCCCUUCGUGCUCCAUCUCGCGCCGACCCAUCUGGGCUAGGACACGCGGCGACAAUUUACUCAUCGGUCCAGGGACCCCCCGGGGUCGAAACGCUGACAGAAGGAUUAGUUUAUCUGAUUCUUUGUGUACUCCACCUAGAAGGAAGUUCAAGUGGCUACAAUAAGAAAACAUGGAUCAGACAACUUGAACCAAUCACCCAAGACGUUGUCCUACAGCCCAAUCGAGAAUGUUGUCUUGUUUUGCUCUGAUGCUGAUGAGGGUCCAUAUGAUCUCUACAUUGCUCCCAAGGAUUCUGUUGGUAGGCCACGUUACUUGCAAGAGGCAAAGAAUGGAGCUAGUGGUUCUGUUGUAUUUGUGGCAUGCAACAGGUUUGCAGUCCUUGAGAGGUGUGCAUCCAGGAAGACAUGAAAUGCACCAUGCCCUUAGUUAAUUCAAUUCUAUAUUCCACGAUUGUAACAUUUUUUAAAAUAUAAUCAAACCCUCUUUGUCUGGGGUACCCUAAUAUCUCUACUACCUAUUAAGAGCCUAAGGAACAUUAAAGGAUUGAAUGCCCAAGAGGGGGUUGAAUUGGGCUAAUUUAAAACUCUAAAUAUCCUUAAGUCAUGCUCAGCAUUGCGUGCAUAUGGUCGUGCAAAACAGUUGUUUUACAUUAUAGACUGUAUUGUUUAAAGAGUGUAGUUUUAAAUAGGGAGUGGGAUAGGAAGGCUGCUAGAGACAGCCUUAGUGCAAUGGUCCACAGUUUCAAAACAGGGAUUAUAGGUUUAUGUUCUAUUAAUAAUUUGUUCUAGCUACUAUCCUUCAAUUUCUUCCCUCAUGGUUCUUAAGGCAUGUAUUGCUCCAAAAAAGACACUCAAUUGCUCAAAUAUAGUUGCAAAUCGAAGCCAAAAACUCCCUUCAAAAUACCAAAGGUAAGUUAUCUGCAUCUAAUUCUCUUAACUAAUGAUGAUGUCUCAAGUGCUUUAUAGUAGGUUCAUGUGCAUCUUUUAGUUUUCUAUAGGUAAAUCUUAGACUUCUAUUGUUCAUGGCACCACACAAUUGACCCCAAAAUUGACACUACUGAGAGUUUUUGAGUAAUAAUAAUAAAUUCCUUUUCUUCUACUAUAUAGGAUGAAUCCAUUCUUAUUUUGGUUUUAGAUAACAAAGAAAAACUUCGAAAUUAGUUUCAGUGUAAUAUGCUAGAUCAUUGACAUGAAUUUUUAGUUCCAAAAUAGUUGAGAUAAGGAUUAAUAUGUAGAAGAGAAGAGAGAGGCAUGGAUUCAAGGUCCAGCCAUGGCACGCUCAACAUGGCUAAUUUUUUAUUUUCAAUGCCUUCCCCACGCCCGCCAUGCCACAAAUCAGAAAACUAUUCAAGGGUUUGAAAAGGUGACCAUAACUGCUAAUUAUUUGUCUAAACUAAAGAAGAAUUCAAAAUUAUUUAGAAAUAAUAAUACAAGGAAAUAAAAAGACUGGGUGUGCAUGCAAAUUAAAGAAACAAGGUUUCUGUCUUCCUAGGCCCUAGAUGAUUUCAGUAGAAAUAAAUUACGCAAAGCACCUUAAUGAAGGGAAGUCAACAAUAUCUGGCCUUUGCUUUAGUUUUAAGUCGACAUAUUUUUCGUGAAUACUAAUGCAAUCCUCCCCUCUAUCCAUAAUGAUUCUUUUUUUUCAAAGAAUCAAAGUUACUCCCAUUCAGAAGCAUACUCCUAUAGUCCUACUUUGGAAAUUGGGACAACAUAGGUUCUAGAUUUCUAACUGAACUGCAAUCUCAACAUUUCUUCACUUCAGUUCACUUAUAUUUCAGUACAGAUCAGAUGGCAGGCUAAUGUUUAUGAUCAAGGGUGUCUGGGUAACUUUUAAGGAGUAGUUUGUGCCAAGAUAGAACCUUCUAAACAUAAGUUCUAGGCGCACAUACAAGAGAAAGUGUGAGCUGCACCAGCUAACCGUGCUGGAGAGGCUGAAGAAGAAUGAGUUGGUGGUCCUCGAGCAAAAGUGGGGGAUGGCCUUGAUACUGAUGGUGAUCUGAUGAAGAUUUCACAUAGGCACAACCAUGAGGAAAUCGAUGUCGAAAUUGGAUGUGGGGAUGCUAAUGAGGUGGAAUGCUUAAUUUCAUACUCCAAAGUUAAAGACAAUACAUAUGCACAUAUGUAGAGUAGAGUUAGAAACAAGGUAAACAGAGAACACGAGUUGGGUUCAAAAGGCAUCAUAAUUCAGGUUAUACCACAAGAAAUCAUUAUAACAAGUGUCUUGGCCUCUGAACCAACACCAGAGUUGGAUGCCUGUUCAAUUACUCGACCGCUUCCAGUAGAGAUGGCCAUUUUCCAGCGGUUUAAUGAAUGUGUGUUUGUUUUGUUGAUAAGUGGGCAAAUGUUGUCUCCUCAGGUGGUUCCAACAUUAUUCUUUUUGUAAAUUGCUAAUGUAGGAUACUUAUGAUGCUACUUGUAGGUUCUCUUGUGCAUUUCGACCAGUGUUUGUGUUGAAUUCUUAUCCUUGAAUCCUUCUGAAGUUUUUGUGUAACAUGUGUAGUGUCUUAGUUAAGAAAUUCCAAGAUGAUGUAUGAAUUCAGAUUGCAUUAUUGAUAGUUCUAAACUUGUGGUCUUUGAGUUCCACAUAUGCACAAGUCGUUUCCUUU